AUUUGCAGAGACUAAGGGUGAACAUCUCAGAAACGCUGGCCUCCGUGCAAAGAAAGGGGGAGCGAAGACUGAGCAAUUUGAUCUUCCCCCAGAUAGGAAGCAGGGAAACAAGGGCUCUUUGUCUCCACCCGAAGCCCAGAACUAUGUCAAUGCCAGAAGGCCAUGGUGAAAAGGGUGCUGUCAACAUUUGGCCUCAUUUGCAUGUCAGGCUGCCUGCAUAUUGUGACCUGUGUGGAGGAAUGCUGCGCCGCUAUCCAGAAAAUGCGCCUGCAGAGAAAUGGCUGUCCUGGACCCUGCCAGAGAGCAGACGCGGUGUGCGGCAUCUCCCGAGUCCCUUCCUCCAACACUCGUCAUUCCGAACCCUGUUCAAGUACGUCCCCAGCCUCUGCUCAUUGUCCCCUGCAAUUCGAA
Hyaena hyaena (striped hyena) is the source of this 411-nucleotide long non-coding RNA. RefSeq lists it as uncharacterized. The record is from RefSeq and is a predicted model, not a curated record. The transcript is spliced from 2 exons. NCBI's taxonomy places the organism in Eukaryota, Metazoa, Chordata, Mammalia, Carnivora, Hyaenidae.